UCCAAAUCAGCACGGAGAGCCGAGAAGUUAUUACCUCCAAUUAGGGCUAGGGUUCUCAAUUUCAAUUCCAAGGAAAUCGAACUAGGUUUUUAGAUUCUCCCUUCACGGUGAUCAGACGACGACGUGGGUAAUGGGAAGGCACAGAAGCCGUAGCAGGAGUUACAGCCCCGUGCGACGUAAACGCUACGACGAACCACGUGACCGUCGCCACGACCGUCGCUCUCCCGCACCUUCUGGCCUUCUUGUUCGUAACAUCUCCCUUAGCGCCAGGGACUAGCUUCAUGAAUGUUCUCCAAGGAAAUUGGAUCAAUUGGCACAUGAACAUUGCCAGAAGAUGUCAGGGUCCCCUUUGAACGUUUUGGUCCUGUAAAAGAUGUCUAUCUGCCCAAGAAUUACUAUACUGGGGAACCACGAGGAUUUGGCUUUGUGAAGUUCCGUUAUGCCGAAGAUGCAGCUGAAGCAAAAGCACACUUAAACUGUACAGUUAUUGGUGGACGUGAAAUUAGUAUUGUUUUUGCGGAGGAGAAUCGAAAGACCCCUCAAGAAAUGAAUAGGGUUUUACGCACAAGGUGCUACAUAUAUGUGGUUUGCUUCGAGUUGCAAUCAUGUUGAUUAUCAAUCUCUUUUCCAGCUCAAGUAUUAUUCACCCACAGUGAAUCUAAGUCUACUACUUUUCCUGUUUAACUAGUGGACCUAGUGCUCGAGGCAGCUACAGGAGACACAGUCCACAAAGGUUCCCAAGUCGCAGAUAUCACUGUCAGUUUGAAUUUUAACUCUCUUACUAAAAGUGUAACUGUUUAGUUUCUCAAUGACUCAUUUAGCUUCUGAUGCUGAUUUAUAUGAUAUUGCAUUGAGGCCCCCACCCCUCCAAAAUUAAAAAGGAAAAAGAGAAGAAGUAAACUUAGUACUGUUAGAGUCGAGAGCAUUGUCUUCCUUUAAGAGUAAUGGUCUAGAAUUUUCUAUGGCAGCUUACUCGCGCUCGGCUUCCCCAGCACGACGUGACUCAAGGUUUGUAUUUCAUAACAGAAGUUUUGCUUGUAUUCUCCUAUUGUUUGUUUGUCUUUGAGCAAGGGCUGCUACUGAUUCUAAUGGGACAAAAUCUAGUAAGAACAUCUAUUGGGAUAAAACAAAUCUGUAGCCUGUAGUCAUAGUAGCAGCAAUUUCAUUGCCUAACAUGCACAAUUCAACUAUCAAGACAAAAUUGGUCAUUUUCCCUAUAUUUAGAGAUAAAUGUUGCUCAAAAGAGAGACUUUGCUCGUUGAUCUGUUUGAUUCCUUUUCAGCAUUAUGGUGCAUGUCCUUCGUCAAUGAGCUCUUUGUAAAAUUGCAGUUUUUUGCCUUGAAUCAUCAAGGCGCUUUGUAUUGUUGCUUUAUCUAUUUUUCUUGCCUAUUUUUUGUUUGUUAUCACCUUUAUUGGCUCAAAACACUCCUUGGUUGGUAUCUGAUUGUUUUAUGUUUGCUUUUUUCUCCUUGGAGGUUAGGAACUUAGGAUAGUGAUGUGGCAUAUUUAUAUCUGCCAAAGUGGUGGUUGCCUCACACUAUCCACCUGAUUUUAGGAAUUAUUUUUUUCUCUAUUUAAUUUAUCUGUUAUCUCUUGUCCUGGAAUACUGAGGCUUUCUCCGUCCCUUGAGUUGUGGUGGCUUAUUAGGUUCUUUAGCUUUCUAAUUUUGUUGAAUACUUAUUUGGGACACACGAUUAUAGAUUAUGUCAAAUGUCUUGCAGGCAUAUGUCAUCUAUCCUGUAGAUUAUUGAAUGACAUCUGCUGGUGGCUUUAUUAAUGCAGAUGCUAAAUUGAGAAAGAGACUUAAAGAAUUCUGGCCUAAUAUAGACAAUUGAGAAAAGGGACCAUAAAGUCAAAGAUUACUUGCUCAUGAAAUGUGAUGAAUCUCCGGAAGUUUCAAAUCACCAUCAUCAAAGUUCAUGUGAUUUUCCUUUUCUGGAUUUUUUUCUAGUAAGGAUGAGCCUUCUAUUGUACCUCGGAGAACCAAUUGAAGUGGUGUGGACAUAUUUCUGUCACAAAGACCUUCAUUUGCUUAUCUUUAAAUUCAUGUUUUAUUUCUUAAUGUUGCACAAUAUCCAGUUAGAGAGAAAAUUUAGAGCUUACAGUUGGCCAAAGAAAGAAUUCACCUUCAAAGGGGCAAAUAUUUUUGAAGUUUUUACUGAUUGGCAUUUCAUGAGAAUGCCCAAGGAAAGCUAUCUCAAGAUUUGGGGCAAAGAAGAACUUUGAAGUGAUCAGAUGCUGAAGAACCGUACCAUAUAGUGCUUAAACAGUCUGGAUCAAACUGUAGUUUUUUCCAGACUAUGAAAUAAGGAUACAGGUAAAGGUUGUGGUUCAGUAGAUUAGAUAUUGAAGGAAUCUACCUUUCAUGGUUUGUUUUAGUAUCAGCCUUAUUUUUGAGUAGUGUGGCAUUGUGAGUUGGAAUAAGCAGUCAUUUGAAAACCAGUGCUAGUCUUUUUACUUGUUUGUACUGUUUUCAACUUCAUGGGUUGCUGCAAAAACUACAUUGAACUUAUCAUUAAGCGGCUUAAGUGCACUAUGGUUCACAGGGACAGGGAUCGUGAGAAUCGGGAUGAUUACUAUUCUCCAAGGAGAUGCAGGUCAAAAUCUCCGUCUGUUUCUCCAAGGGAUGAAAGAAAUUAUAGGUUGAAUGGAAGAUCUUCUAGACAAUCCCGGCAAAUGUCCAGGUCAAAUACUCCACGCAUUCAGAAAAAAGGUAGGCCCAGCCCGAGUCCAAGAGAUAAUAGACUGAUUGUUCAUGAUUUGGACUCUGCCCGAAGGA
Molecule: non-coding RNA, 2779 nt
Organism: Nicotiana tabacum (common tobacco)
Lineage: Eukaryota; Viridiplantae; Streptophyta; Magnoliopsida; Solanales; Solanaceae
Source: RefSeq, a predicted model, not a curated record